GUUAGGAAUAUUGGACAAUGGGCGAAAGCCUGAUCCAGCCAUGCCGCGUGAACGAUGAAGGCCUUCGGGUUGUAAAGUUCUUUAGCCGAUGAUUAUAAUGACUGUAAUCGGAAAAUAAGCCCCGGCUAACUUCGUGCCAGCAGCCGCGGUAAUACGAAGGGGGCGAGCGUUAUUCGGAAUCACUGGGCGUAAAGCGUGCGUAGGCGGUUUUGUAAGUUAGGAGUGAAAGCCCAGGGCUCAACCUUGGAAUUGCUCUUAAAACUGCAAGGCUCGAAUCUCGGAGAGGAUAGAGGAAUUUCCAGUGUAGCAGUGAAAUGCGUAGAUAUUGGAAGGAACACCAGUGGCGUAAGCGGCUAUCUGGACGAGUAUUGACGCUGAGGCACGAAAGCGUGGGGAUCAAACAGGAUUAGAAACCCGUGUAGUCC
Molecule: ribosomal RNA, 425 nt
Filed under: uncultured bacterium
Lineage: Bacteria
Description: partial 16S ribosomal RNA
Rfam family: Bacterial small subunit ribosomal RNA
Source: RNAcentral